GCGGGCGUGGUACAUAGGGUGUGCCCUGGGCCUCCAACCCGGAGAAGAGAUUUCGAUUAUCUCCGCCCGCUCCA
RNAcentral lists this transfer RNA (74 nucleotides) under Terriglobia bacterium. RNAcentral describes it as "tRNA-Gly". Lineage: Bacteria; Pseudomonadati; Acidobacteriota; Terriglobia. The record is from RNAcentral.